GGAUGCGAUCAUACCAGCACUAAAACACCGGAUCCCAUCAGAACUCUGAAGUUAAGCGUGCUUGGGCGAGAGUAGUACUAGGAUGGGUGACCUCUUGGGAAGUCCUCGUGUUGCAUUCC
Molecule: ribosomal RNA, 119 nt
Filed under: Triticum aestivum (bread wheat)
Lineage: Eukaryota; Viridiplantae; Streptophyta; Magnoliopsida; Poales; Poaceae
Source: RNAcentral